This 19-nucleotide small nuclear RNA is filed under the name Arabidopsis thaliana (thale cress). RNAcentral's name for it is "snRNA_11399". The record is from RNAcentral. Lineage: Eukaryota; Viridiplantae; Streptophyta; Magnoliopsida; Brassicales; Brassicaceae.
AAGAUUAUAAAUUUUCAAU